GUAGCUAUAUCACAUUGAAACACCAGUUCCCAUCCGAUCACCAAAGCUAAGCAAUGUCGAGCCUGGCCAGUACCUAAAUGGGUGACCACUUGGGAAUACCAG
Non-coding RNA from Acanthosepion pharaonis, 102 nucleotides. The record is from the annotation of a GenBank genome assembly. Lineage: Eukaryota; Metazoa; Mollusca; Cephalopoda; Sepiida; Sepiidae.